GGCCAGGUAGCUCAGUUGGUAGAGCAGCGGACUGAAAAUCCGCGUGUCGCCGGUUCGAUUCCGGCCCUGGCCAC
Molecule: transfer RNA, 74 nt
Filed under: compost metagenome
Description: tRNA-Phe
Rfam family: tRNA
About the family: Transfer RNA (tRNA) molecules are approximately 80 nucleotides in length. Their secondary structure includes four short double-helical elements and three loops (D, anti-codon, and T loops).
Source: RNAcentral